RNAcentral lists this long non-coding RNA (589 nucleotides) under Fukomys damarensis (Damara mole-rat). Its description in RNAcentral is "lncRNA (ENSFDAG00000023231.1)". The record is from RNAcentral. Lineage: Eukaryota; Metazoa; Chordata; Mammalia; Rodentia; Bathyergidae.
GAGACUUUGACAACUUGGAGCCUUGUGCACUCUGUUCUGGGGCCUGAACAACCCAGCCUGGGAGCUGCUCAAGCUUCUGCUCUGUAGCAAUCAGCUGCUGCUGAGAACCGUUUAGUUUUGAUUGUAGAACAACUGCUUGACCAAUCUGCUAUUUCUUACAGGGUGGACUUGCCUCUCUCAGAAAAUUUGACAUAAUUAGAGGCAAAUUCCAGUGCUUCCCCUUUGGAGGAAGUUGAGCUGCCUCCCCCUGUGUUUGAGUUGCUAAGAUCACAGGACACAUCAGAGGCUCCUGGAAUAACCUUGUGGUUUAACAGAGACAAGAUGUAAUCUUCUGAACUCGGCUCCUUGACCCCAAACUUCUCUUGAUUGUUUACAGAUUUUGAUUACCAUUUACAAACAUUUAUUUCCCUUUUCAUGUUCUCAUGGGGCUGAGGAUUAACCCAAGGAUUUGUGCAUGUUAGGAAAAUUACUACUGAGCUACAUCUCUACCCAGUAAAGAUUUUAUUAGUGUAUAUUAACUUUACAGAAUAAUGGACAUUAUUGUAGCAUACUAAUAUAUGUAAGUAUCUUACUUUUAUCAUACCCACCU